GCGAGCGGUAGGAGGAGGAGGAGGAGGAGGAGGAAGGGAGAGAGAGAAGAAGGGAAGGAGGGAGGCAGGUCCGGUGGCCCUCUCGGGUAGCCCCAGCGGCGAGGGAAAAUGGCGACGCUGGGAGGCGAGUCGCAGCCCUUCCCCUCUGCUGCUCUGGCGGCGGCCGCCGGGGUGGGCGGCGGCGGCGGCGGCGGCGGCAGCGGGGCGCUGGGUCUGCAGGCGCCGCUGACCCGCGGUCUGGAACGGGCGCUGGAGGAGGCGGCGCACUCCGGGGGGCUCAACCUGAGCGGCAGGAAGCUGAAGGAGUUCCCGCGCAGCGCCGCCGCCCUGAGCCACGACCUCUCGGACACGGUGCGGGCAGAUUUAUCCAAGAAUAGGUUGACUGAAGUUCCUACGGAAUUGUGCCAUUUUGUGUCACUGGAAACACUAAAUCUAUACCACAAUUGUAUCAAAGUUAUACCAGAUGCUAUAGUAAACUUACAAAUGCUAACUUACUUAAAUUUGAGUCGAAAUCAGCUUUCUUCUUUGCCAGCUUGCCUGUGUGGUCUUCCUCUAAAAGUCUUAAUUGCAAGUAACAAUAAGCUAGGUUCCCUUCCAGAAGAGAUAGGUCAGCUAAAACAGUUAAUGGAAUUGGAUGUCAGCUGUAAUGAAAUCACAGCUUUGCCACAGCAGAUAGGCCAGCUGAAAUCUUUAAAAGAACUGAAUGUCAGAAGAAAUUACCUCGAAGUUUUACCCCAAGAACUAGUACAGCUUCCCUUGGUAAAGUUUGACUUUUCCUGCAAUAAAGUGCUUGUGAUUCCAAUUUGUUUUAGAAAGAUGACGCAGUUACAAGUAUUACUGCUUGAGAAUAAUCCUUUGCAAUCUCCACCAGCACAAAUUUGUACAAAGGGUAAGGUGCAUAUAUUCAAAUAUCUGACUGUACAAGCCUGUCAGAUUAAAACAGCAGACUCGCUGUAUCUUAAUGCCAUUGAACCACAGCAUUUGCCACAGCCUGUGGAAGAGAGCAUUGAUGACAUCUACCCAAGUAAAAAGGAUUCAGAUUCAGGUGUUGGUAGUGAUAAUGGUGAUAAACGUUUGUCAGCAACAGAGCCAUCUGAUGAAGAUACUAUCAGCUUCAAUGUUCCAAUGUCGGACAUUGUGGAAGAAGAUCAUAUUAUAAAGGAUGAUUCGGGUCACCAUGCUAACUCAAGAAAAGUGGAAUUCCAUCAAGGAUCUUCUCAUACGUUUGUCAAUGAUAAGUCACGAGAAACAGAAAACCAGUUUGAUGAACAGGAUACUCUUACUACUGAAUUUAUGAGCUACAUUAAGAGCAGAGCAGCAGAGUGUGAUGAAUUAUUGAGAAUAGAAGAGGACAUGCAAUGGCAAGCAGACGAAAUAAUAAAUUUAUCAGAAGAACAAACUAUUGAUAUAGCAAUGAUAGAACAACUAAGAGAAGCUGUAGAUUUAUUACAAGAUUCCAACAGUGGUCAAUUACUGAUGGACAUGUCUUCUCUUGGUCAGAGAGAAAAUGCUGAAGAGGAACUGGAAUUCCAGAGGAGGAGGGAGUUGAUUAUGGAGAAAGCAAAGCCUGAAGCAAGAACUUGUGAACAGGGUGAAAAAUGGUCAUUGAGCCAGAAUGACCUAAUUGUUUGGAACACAAGCGGGCAAACCUCUCACAAUGAGAAUAAGGAUAAAAGUCCAACAAUGUCUCCUAUUACAAACACCACAAUUCCUUUUGGCCUGAAGCCACGAUCAGCAGACCCAUCCCUCAGUUUUCCUCCUAUCUCCUUCAACACACUUACACAGGCACAAACAUGGGACAACUUUAGCUACAGUAUCCCAUCUGAAGGAGACAGUGACAAUGUGUUCUUAAGACCACAAAGAAAUUUGGAAUCAAUAGAUCCACAGUUCACAAUUCGAAGGAAAAUGGAGCAGAUGAGAGAAGAGAGAGAGCUUGUGGAACAGCUACGUGAGAACAUAGAAACGAGACUGAAGAUCUGUUUGCCCGAAGACCUGGGCUCGGCUCUGAUGGAUGGUGUCGUUCUGUGCCAUUUAGUCAAUCACGUGCGCCCUCGGUCUGUCGGGAGCAUUCAUGUACCCUCACCAGCAGUACCUAAACUUAGCAUGGCCAAAUGCAGGAGAAACGUGGAAAACUUUUUGGAUGCAUGUAGAAAACUGGGAAUACCAGAGGCUGACCUCUGCUCUCCGUAUGACAUCCUGCAGUCGGAUAUUCGUCACAUUCGAAAGACUGUUGACACUCUGCUCGCCCUCGGGGAGAAACCCCCACAAUCAACUUCUACUUUUCGCUCCUGGGAUCUAAUAGGCUUUUGUCUUUUCCAUAUACUUUUUAUAGUCUUGAUGUAUAUAACUUAUCACUGGAAUUUGCUAACAGCAUAACCUGUUCGCAUGUGCGCACAAACUUUCUGCUUUGUCUCUGAAAAAUUACAGGAGAAGCUCUGCCUACCACAUCACAUCCUAGAAGAAAAGGGCUUGGUAAAAGUGAGCAUAACAGUUCAAGCAUUGCUAGAUGUAACCACAGUGAAACAAGCUUUAUUCACAUGAAACUACCCUCUCUCUGCUGUUACCAGCUACACUGUGCCAUGAACGAAUCAAAAACUGCCCAUUUUUUCAAACUGCAUUGAAGACAACUCCAGUACUCCAAGAGUAUUCUUAGCAUUUUAAACCUAUGUUUCAGACUGUACAUAUGUGUCGAACUACAAAGCAGAAACUGAACAGAAACAUUUUCUAGAGGAAGUUGGCACUUCACUGCUUUUAUAGCUCACUUUGUACAGUACUUACUAAAACAACACCUCUCUGCCACUUAAAAUCGUGUGGAGUACACAGCUGUCUUGCAGCAAGAUACUUUGUAUUACUAAACUAAGAGUCACUGUAAUCACCUGGGGGGAGGGAGAAGGGAGAGUAAAUCAGACUGCUACCACCUUAGGUUUUUCUGCAGUUGCUUCAGGCUAUUGCCUUUUAAAAAUAUCCAGACAUUAAAUAUUUAUAUAAAUAUUAUUUAUUAGUGAGUUGUUAUUCAUCCUUUGGAUGCAAAAUGUAAAUUAGGAAACUGUAUUUUAUUACUGCUUUUUUUGUGGUUAAACACUUUAUUUUAAUAUAAAUACUUUGUUAUUUUUUAUUCUACUUGGUGUGCAGUAGCUCUAGAUCUCCGUAAAUGGUAUUUUCUAAUAUGUAAGAUAAAAAGCAAACAAAAUAGGUGCUUCUAUUAAAAGAACAGCUAGCUGGAAUGGCAUUCUUUAUUUCUUGAAUCUGUGGAACAUUGGUAAAAAAUUGUCUGCAUUCCAUUGAGUUUCCUACAUUCCAGUAACACCUCUCCCCUCACUAGAUAGACUAAAUUGGCUGAAAGUGAGAGCACACCCAUUUUAUUUGUAUAUAGAUGUUUAAAGACAAAAGGAAAUAUGUAAACUUGAAAAACAAAUGUGAAAAAAUA
Passer montanus (Eurasian tree sparrow) is the source of this 3427-nucleotide RNA transcript. It is a transcript of the gene named leucine rich repeats and calponin homology domain containing 1, with no coding region annotated. NCBI's taxonomy places the organism in Eukaryota, Metazoa, Chordata, Aves, Passeriformes, Passeridae. The transcript has 21 exons. The record is from RefSeq and is a predicted model, not a curated record.